RNAcentral lists this ribosomal RNA (775 nucleotides) under uncultured Neocallimastigales. RNAcentral describes it as "partial large subunit ribosomal RNA". It matches the Rfam family "Eukaryotic large subunit ribosomal RNA", at positions 24 to 634 of the family's 3401-position model. Lineage: Eukaryota; Fungi; Neocallimastigomycota; Neocallimastigomycetes; Neocallimastigales. The record is from RNAcentral.
UACGACUACAUAUCAGGCAUAUCAAUAAGCGGAGGAAAAGAAACUAACAAGGAUUCCCUUAGUAACGGCGAGUGAAGCGGGAAGAGCUCAAAUUUGAAAUCUUCAAGGUUUUACCUUGACGAAUUGUAGUUUAAAGAAGUGUUUUCUGUUGAAGUUUCGGUAAAAGUUCUUUGGAAUAGGACAUCAUAGAGGGUGAGAAUCCCGUAUUUGACCGUUAUUUUCAGCUGUGUGAUACACUUUCAAAGAGUCGGAUUGUUUGGGAAUGCAGUCCAAAAUGGGUGGUAAAUUUCAUCUAAAGCUAAAUAUUGGCGAGAGACCGAUAGCGAACAAGUACCGUGAGGGAAAGAUGAAAAGAACUUUGAAAAGAGAGUUAAACAGUACGUGAAAUUGUCAAAAGGGAAGCGUUUGACACCAGUGUUGUUUUCUCGAAAAUCAAUUAAAAAUGGCUUGAUUUUGUGUUGUAUUGACCUUAAAAGCUUUCUUCACUUUUUUCAUGUCUUUUUUAAUGCACUUUUCGUUUAACAAGUCAACAUCAGUUUCUUUUGUUGUAAAAAGGUCAUUGGAAGGUGGCUUUCUUUUCGGAGAAAGUGUUUAUAGCCUUUGACUCCUGCAAUCGGAGAGACCUGAGGUCUGCAGCGUAGAUCCUUCUGGAUUAGAUACAUUUGUGCUAAGUUAUAGUUUUUCAUAGACAACAUGUUGACUAUAUUAGUCAUGUAACUUACUCGCUUAUGCUAAUUUUACCUACGCUUAGGAUGUUGAAUCUGUGCGAGACUAC